This 301-nucleotide ribosomal RNA is filed under the name uncultured bacterium. RNAcentral's name for it is "partial 16S ribosomal RNA". It matches the Rfam family "Bacterial small subunit ribosomal RNA", at positions 509 to 809 of the family's 1533-position model. The record is from RNAcentral.
CAGUCGCCGCGGUAAUACGGAGGGUGCAAGCGUUAAUCGGAAUUACUGGGCGUAAAGCGUGCGUAGGCGGCUUCUUAAGUCGGAUGUGAAAUCCCUGAGCUUAACUUAGGAAUUGCAUUCGAUACUGGGAAGCUAGAGUAUGUGAGAGGAUGGUAGAAUUCCAGGUGUAGCGGUGAAAUGCGUAGAGAUCUGGAGGAAUACCGAUGGCGAAGGCAGCCAUCUGGCCUAAUACUGACGCUGAGGUACGAAAGCAUGGGGAGCAAACAGGAUUAGAUACCCCCGUAGUCCCUGUCUCUUAUAA